RNAcentral lists this ribosomal RNA (356 nucleotides) under uncultured Cortinarius. RNAcentral's name for it is "eukaryotic LSU rRNA". The stretch from base 1 to 122 matches the Rfam family "5.8S ribosomal RNA", at positions 33 to 154 of the family's 154-position model. The record is from RNAcentral. Lineage: Eukaryota; Fungi; Basidiomycota; Agaricomycetes; Agaricales; Cortinariaceae.
UCGAUGAAGAACGCAGCGAAAUGCGAUAAGUAAUGUGAAUUGCAGAAUUCAGUGAAUCAUCGAAUCUUUGAACGCACCUUGCGCUCCUUGGUAUUCCGAGGAGCAUGCCUGUUUGAGUGUCAUUAAUAUUAUAUAUCGAACCCUUCUUUUUUGAGUGGUUUGGAUGUGGGGUUGCUGGCCUCUUGAAGGGGUCAGCUUCCCUGAAAUGCAUUAGCAGAACAGCCUGUUCGUUCCAUUGGUGUGAUAACUAUCUACGCUAUUGAAUGAUGAAGGCAAGUUCAGCUUUCUAACCGUCUUUGGACAAUUUAUCAUCUAUAUGUGACCUCAAAUCAGGUAGGACUACCCGCUGAACUUAA